Molecule: long non-coding RNA, 985 nt
Organism: Bombus terrestris (buff-tailed bumblebee)
Lineage: Eukaryota; Metazoa; Arthropoda; Insecta; Hymenoptera; Apidae
Exons: 2
Source: RefSeq, a predicted model, not a curated record
AGGAAGCCCGAAAGAUGAGAGAAAGAGCCGCAUAGAGACAAAAGAGGCUUUUCAUUCCGCAAGCCAGGGUUCGCGAUACCACCGCUCAAUCCGCACCGAGGACCGUCUUUUCUUGAUAUGCUAUACGCUCGAUCGACCUCGCCAAUGUGUCACGUUAUCUUCAGUUUCUUUCCUGCUUUGUUUACUACUGUCAGUUGAGGAUUGAUUUUUUUUUUUUGUUGGUUCGUAGAGAUAUCGAGGAUAAGAUAAGAAUUCAUGGAGGAAGUUUACAGGUCACCUGAAUGAUAAGAGUUUGGAGGUUAUGUUGGCGGAAGAAUAUAUUUACUUGAGAAAUUAAGAGCAUAGGGUAUAAUAUAGACAUUUGGUAGCUGAGAUUAUAGCAUGGAAUCUAAAACGAUCCGAAACUAUCUGAAAUAUCAAAAGUAUUUGAAACGGCUAAAAUAUGCAACGCUCCUGAAUAUCUUAACCUAAAACAUAUAUACAUACUUGAUACUUAAGAUACCCUAUGUACUUGAGUGAUUAUUUGGGUACCUAACAUUUGGAUAAUAAUGUUACCACAGCUUUCAAACUUGAUGUAAGUUACUGUGUAUAAUAAAAUCUUCUAUUUUAUACUGAUACAACCGUCUAAAUAUUUAAAGUUCGGUAAAGACGAUCUAAUUCUAACAAACAUAGCCGACACCAUCUAACCUAAAAUGUUUACUUGGUAACAAACUCUGAGCUUUUCUGAAGACAAAACACUUGCGAGGAGGUUUCGAAGAGUAACUAUGUGUAUACACAGUGGACGUGACUUCUUUCCAUGUGGAAGCGAAAUUUAAAGGGGACCCGGUUACCGACGCCAUGAUACUACACUACCGACCUUUCUGCGAACAAACAGCCUGACUCGAACAUCUUGUAAACACUUAACAGAUAUUAAGUUUCUUCAUCUCUUGACGAAAGUAACACAGAAUCUACGCGGAACUUGCAAGAUUUCAAUUCUACCCGUUGA